This 647-nucleotide long non-coding RNA is filed under the name Junco hyemalis (dark-eyed junco). RNAcentral describes it as "lncRNA (ENSJHYG00000011310.1)". Lineage: Eukaryota; Metazoa; Chordata; Aves; Passeriformes; Passerellidae. The record is from RNAcentral.
UCAGCUCUGACUAAUAAUUGGUCAGGGAAAUUAUGCAGGGAAGUUUCUACAUGGAACUGACACAUCAUGUAGAUGACUAAGUUUAUAAAAUAAUACUCUUCCUUUUCACCCAACGAUGUGGCACUAUAGACGAAGUCAUUUGGACGACCCAGAAGGGGAGAUAUUAGAAACACCAGGGCAUCUUCAUUUAGAGUAGGACUGUUAGCUGUGGCAUUCUGGCUAAGUCAUGUCUAAUGUGCUAAGGUCUCUUGAGGUUUAAAACACAUUAUCAGUGUCUGAUAUCUCAUCUUCUUUUUCUCUCCUAUCUAGGUCAAACAGUUCUUGUUAUAAGCUGUUUAUGUUUUUCCAACAAAAUUCAAUGCUCAUAAACAUUUAGAUAGAGUUUAUUUCUUGCCACCUAAAGGAAUGAUCUACAAGACCAUAAAGGAAUGAUCUCCCAGGCCAGAAACUCAUUUCUUUCUGCCCAAAGGAGAUGCCAAUAUCUUUCUGGGUCAAGCAGAACAGCUCUUUCACCUCCCAGAGUUCACAGCUAAGGACACGCAUGGCAAUCUUCCUCAACACUGAGCAGUACUGCUAAAACCGUAUUAUUCACACUGAAGCACUGGGGCCUUACAGAGCAGCUGCUCUGUAAAUUCACCAGAGCAAGG